This 464-nucleotide ribosomal RNA is filed under the name uncultured bacterium. Its description in RNAcentral is "bacterial SSU rRNA". It matches the Rfam family "Bacterial small subunit ribosomal RNA", at positions 338 to 795 of the family's 1533-position model. The record is from RNAcentral.
CCUACGGGUGGCAGCAGUGGGGAAUUUUGGACAAUGGGCGAAAGCCUGAUCCAGCAAUGCCGCGUGUGUGAAGAAGGCCUUCGGGUUGUAAAGCACUUUUGUCCGGAAAGAAAACGCCGUGGUUAAUACCCGUGGCGGAUGACGGUACCUUAGGAGGAAGCCCCGGCUAACUACGUGCCAGCAGCCGCGGUAAUACGUAGGGGGCUAGCGUUAUCCGGAAUUACUGGGCGUAAAGGGUGCGUAGGCGGCCCUUCAAGUCAGAGGUGAAAGGCUACGGCUCAACCGUAGUAAGCCUUUGAAACUGUAGGGCUUGAGUGCAGGAGAGGAGAGUGGAAUUCCCAGUGUAGCGGUGAAAUGCGUAGAUAUUGGGAGGAACACCAGUUGCGAAGGCGGCUCUCUGGGCUGUAACUGACGCUGAGGCACGAAAGCGUGGGGAGCGAACAGGAUUAGAUACCCUGGUAGUC